UCGAAUCUAACAUGGAAGAGGUAGAGAGACUGUGCUGGCCGAUCGCUGAUCGGCAUGUGCACGUCCCCUCACCUUUUUCUGUCUACAUACACCUGUGCACCUAUUGUAGAUCCCCUCGAAAGAGAGGGAACUAUGUUUUCAUCACAUCACACACAAAGAAUGUCUAGAAUGUAAACGUGAUCAUAUAUA
RNAcentral lists this unclassified non-coding RNA (189 nucleotides) under uncultured fungus. RNAcentral's name for it is "sequence contains ITS1, 5.8S rRNA gene". Lineage: Eukaryota; Fungi. RNAcentral also lists the same sequence under 1 other name. The record is from RNAcentral.